GAUGAACGCUAGCGGCAGGCUUAACACAUGCAAGUCGAACGGUAACAUAGAAAAGCUUGCUUUUCUGAUGACGAGUGGCGAACGGGUGCGUAACACGUAUGCAACUUACCCUCUACAGGGGGAUAGCCCAGAGAAAUCUGGAUUAAUACCCCAUAAUAAUAAGAAUUCGCAUGUUUUCUUAUUUAAAACUCCGGUGGUAGAGGAUGGGCAUGCGGUCUAUUAGUUUGUUGGUGAGGUAACGGCUCACCAAGACUACGAUAGAUAGGGGUUCUGAGAGGAUGAUCCCCCACACUGGUACUGAGACACGGACCAGACUCCUACGGGAGGCAGCAGUGAGGAAUAUUGCGCAAUGGAGGAAACUCUGACGCAGCCAUGCCGCGUGAAGGAAGACGGCCCUACGGGUUGUAAACUUCUUUUAUAUGCCAAGAAACCCUUCUACGUGUAGAAGGCUGACGGUAGCAUAUGAAUAAGCACCGGCUAACUCCG
Molecule: ribosomal RNA, 486 nt
Filed under: uncultured Cryomorphaceae bacterium
Lineage: Bacteria; Pseudomonadati; Bacteroidota; Flavobacteriia; Flavobacteriales; Cryomorphaceae
Description: bacterial SSU rRNA
Rfam family: Bacterial small subunit ribosomal RNA
Source: RNAcentral